This 253-nucleotide ribosomal RNA is filed under the name uncultured bacterium. RNAcentral describes it as "partial 16S ribosomal RNA". It matches the Rfam family "Bacterial small subunit ribosomal RNA", at positions 524 to 776 of the family's 1533-position model. The record is from RNAcentral.
GACAGAGGGUGCAAACGUUGUUCGGAAUUACUGGGCGUAAAGCGCGUGUAGGCUGCUUGGAAAGUCGGAUGUGAAAGCCCUGGGCUCAACCUAGGAAGUGCAUUCGAAACUUCUGAGCUGGAGUGCUGGAGAGGAAGGCGGAAUUCUCGGUGUAGAGGUGAAAUUCGUAGAUAUCGAGAGGAACACCAGUGGCGAAAGCGGCCACCUGGACUGCACCUGACGCUGACACGCGAAAGCUAGGGGAGCGAACGGG